Long non-coding RNA from Homo sapiens (human), 480 nucleotides. NCBI's taxonomy places the organism in Eukaryota, Metazoa, Chordata, Mammalia, Primates, Hominidae. The record is from Ensembl.
GGGGGUUUAGGAUCCAAAGCCCAAGUGGGCAGUUCUGCCUGGACUGGAGGACAGAGCAUGGAGCAGGUGGGGAGAGGGCAGGUGUCUGCAGUUGGCCUUUUUCCUCUGUGAUGAGGAAGAUACCUCCACCAACUGGAAGAAAAGAAUCUGGAACGAUGAAGGUGAUGAUUGUGCCUGUGGCCAAGACCGGGAGAACCCUGGAUCCCUACACCUUCCCCACCCCUGGAAUGUCACUAUACAUAUCUGACUUCUUCUGAUGUUGCCUUUGACCCUAAAGUCAAUAUGAUAAAGUAACAAGAAGCUGGGACAGAGGAACAAACACAGCCCACUCAAGCAGUGGUGGCAACAUUCUGUUAGAAAGGAGGGGAGUCAAAGAAAAAAACACCCCUCCGCCCAUCUCCUUAUCACCUCCCUAAAGACAGAGGAGAACAUGGACACCCUCCAUCCUGAUAGACAUGCCAUGUGGUCAGUUUGUGCGGU